RNAcentral lists this ribosomal RNA (222 nucleotides) under uncultured Glomeromycotina. Its description in RNAcentral is "partial 18S ribosomal RNA". The stretch from base 47 to 222 matches the Rfam family "Eukaryotic small subunit ribosomal RNA", at positions 693 to 882 of the family's 1831-position model. Lineage: Eukaryota; Fungi; Glomeromycota. The record is from RNAcentral.
GGAUCAAUUAAUCGGUCGUACCUAUGGUACGUACUGAUUUUAUUGGUUUCUCCCUUCUGACGAACCAUGAUGUCAUUAAUUUGGUGUCGUGGAGAAUCAGGACUGUUACUUUGAAAAAUUAGAGUGUUUAAAGCUGAAUACAUUAGCAUGGAAUAAUGAAAUAGGGCGUUUGAUCCUAUUUUGUUGGUUUCUAGGAUCGACGUAAUGAUUAAUAGGGAUAGU